GCCGAGCUAUUAACGCCAGCUUGUUACUCAAGUGAGGGCAUAAAAUUGUUGGAACACGGCUUAAGGUAAAGCUGCUAUGGGUUAUGUCUAUUGCAUCUGCAAUAGGGUGGUUUAGACUCUUAUGACGUCUUUAAUCUAAGAGAGCUUCGGCACUCGUACGUGGAUAAUAAGGAUAGAAAACUACCCUUGAACCAUCAAUUUU
Molecule: non-coding RNA, 202 nt
Filed under: Medicago truncatula (barrel medic)
Lineage: Eukaryota; Viridiplantae; Streptophyta; Magnoliopsida; Fabales; Fabaceae
Source: RNAcentral